Molecule: ribosomal RNA, 710 nt
Filed under: uncultured Lachnospiraceae bacterium
Lineage: Bacteria; Bacillati; Bacillota; Clostridia; Lachnospirales; Lachnospiraceae
Description: bacterial SSU rRNA
Rfam family: Bacterial small subunit ribosomal RNA
Source: RNAcentral
UCAGGAUGAACGCUGGCGGCGUGCUUAACACAUGCAAGUCGAACGGGAAACUUUUCAUUGAAGCUUCGGCAGAUUUGGUCUGUUUCUAGUGGCGGACGGGUGAGUAACGCGUGGGUAACCUGCCUUAUACAGGGGGAUAACAACCAGAAAUGGUUGCUAAUACCGCAUAAGCGCACAGGACCGCAUGGUCCGGUGUGAAAAACUCCGGUGGUAUAAGAUGGACCCGCGUUGGAUUAGCUAGUUGGCAGGGUAACGGCCUACCAAGGCGACGAUCCAUAGCCGGCCUGAGAGGGUGAACGGCCACAUUGGGACUGAGACACGGCCCAGACUCCUACGGGAGGCAGCAGUGGGGAAUAUUGCACAAUGGGGGAAACCCUGAUGCAGCGACGCCGCGUGAAGGAAGAAGUAUCUCGGUAUGUAAACUUCUAUCAGCAGGGAAGAUAGUGACGGUACCUGACUAAGAAGCCCCGGCUAACUACGUGCCAGCAGCCGCGGUAAUACGUAGGGGGCAAGCGUUAUCCGGAUUUACUGGGUGUAAAGGGAGCGUAGACGGACUGGCAAGUCUGAUGUGAAAGGCGGGGGCUCAACCCCUGGACUGCAUUGGAAACUGUUAGUCUUGAGUGCCGGAGAGGUAAGCGGAAUUCCUAGUGUAGCGGUGAAAUGCGUAGAUAUUAGGAGGAACACCAGUGGCGAAGGCGGCUUACUGGACG